RNAcentral lists this ribosomal RNA (849 nucleotides) under uncultured organism. Its description in RNAcentral is "bacterial SSU rRNA". It matches the Rfam family "Bacterial small subunit ribosomal RNA", at positions 35 to 881 of the family's 1533-position model. The record is from RNAcentral.
GCUGGCGGCAGGCCUAAUACAUACAAGUCGAACGGGAUCUGAAGUAGCAAUACUUUGGUGAGAGUGGCGCACGGGUGCGUAACACGUAUGCAACCUACCUUUAACCGGGACACAACCCUCCGAAAGGGGGGCUAAUAUUCCAUGUGAUUAUUUUGUGGCAUCAUAAGAUAAUUAAAGAUUCAUUGGUUAAAGAUGGGCAUGCGUCCCAUUAGCUAGUUGGUGAGGUAACGGCCCACCAAGGCUAUGAUGGGUAGGGGUUCUGAGAGGAUAUACCCCCACACUGGUACUGAGACACGGACCAGACUCCUACGGGAGGCAGCAGUAAGGAAUAUUGGUCAAUGGGCGGAAGCCUGAACCAGCCAUGCCGCGUGCAGGAAGACGGCCCUAUGGGUUGUAAACUGCUUUUGUCAGGGGAUAAACCUAUCUACGUGUGGAUAGCUGAAGGUACCUGAAGAAUAAGGAUCGGCUAACUCCGUGCCAGCAGCCGCGGUAAUACGGAGGAUCCGAGCGUUAUCCGGAUUUAUUGGGUUUAAAGGGUGCGCAGGCGGACUGGUAAGUCAGGGGUGAAAUUCUACGGCUCAACUGUAGGCGUGCCUUUGAUACUGCCGGACUAGAGUUAAGUUGGAGUGGGCGGAAUGUGUUGUGUAGCGGUGAAAUGCUUAGAUAUAACACAGAACACCGAUCGCGAAGGCAGCUCACUAAACUUAGACUGACGCUCAUGCACGAAAGCGUGGGGGAUCAAACAGGAUUAGAUACCCUGGUAGUCCACGCUGUAAACGAUGAUCACUCGCUGUUGGCGAUAUACAGUCAGUGGCUAAGCGAAAGUGAUAAGUGAUCCACCUGGGGAGU